GAUGAACGCUGGCGGCGUGCUUAACACAUGCAAGUCGAACGGAAAGGCUCCUGCUUGCCUGGGUACUCGAGUGGCGAACGGGUGAGUAACACGUGGGUGAUCUGCCCUGCACUUCGGGAUAAGCCUGGGAAACUGGGUCUAAUACCGGAUAGGACCACAUUUUGGAUGGUGUGGUGGAAAGUUUUUCGGUGUGGGAUGAGCUCGCGGCCUAUCAGCUUGUUGGUGGGGUAAUGGCCUACCAAGGCGUCGACGGGUAGCCGGCCUGAGAGGGUGUACGGCCACAUUGGGACUGAGAUACGGCCCAGACUCCUACGGGAGGCAGCAGUGGGGAAUAUUGCACAAUGGGCGCAAGCCUGAUGCAGCGACGCCGCGUGGGGGAUGACGGCCUUCGGGUUGUAAACUCCUUUCGCUAGGGACGAAGCGCAAGUGACGGUACCUGGAGAAGAAGCACCGGCUAACUACGUG
This 465-nucleotide ribosomal RNA is filed under the name uncultured bacterium. RNAcentral's name for it is "partial 16S ribosomal RNA". It matches the Rfam family "Bacterial small subunit ribosomal RNA", at positions 28 to 507 of the family's 1533-position model. The record is from RNAcentral.